Long non-coding RNA from Lotus japonicus, 2517 nucleotides. RefSeq lists it as uncharacterized. The record is from RefSeq and is a predicted model, not a curated record. NCBI's taxonomy places the organism in Eukaryota, Viridiplantae, Streptophyta, Magnoliopsida, Fabales, Fabaceae. The transcript has 6 exons.
GGGCUUGUCCGCAAGCAGCAUGUGAAUUGGGUUGACCGUCUUGAUCCUCUUGACCCGCAGAUGGAGAAACAAUGUCGAUUGUAGAUUGUCUUAGAGACACAUUGAAGGAUGAGAAGUCCCUCUAUGUUCAAAAUUCUGCUGUGCCACACAACUCUGUUAGUUGAGUAAGUAACUAUGAGCAGGGAGUGAUCAGCUUCACUAUCAACAGUAAUAUUAUUGCUCAAGGGGGAAAGUAGUUUGGCAUUUCAUACUCAGCCUUUCUUUUUAUUUAUUUUACUUUUGUAUUCAUGCAUUCUAUUUGUUUUUUUAGGCAAAUGUUAGUUGUUAAUAAUGUUGGUAAAUUAGUCCCUUCUGAGGAUUUGAACUCUAGACUCUCCAUCCCACCCGAACCCUUAUAGACCCUUCAUUCUAUUUGUAAAUGAAGUUGGGGAGCCUUCUAUUUUGCCCAUAUAGCAAAAAGGGGUGCUGGUUUCUCAGCUGUACAUUGCAUUACAACUGUUGUGCUACCCUUUCUAGAUACUAAUAGCAAAUAACUCUAAUCAGUAAUCACGAUCGCCUUCAUUUUGUUUUGUCAACAGGUGCUGUGGCAAUUACAGUGCCAAAUCCAACUGAUCUUGUCAAAGUGAGGCUUCAAGCAGAAGGAUAAUUGCCUCCAGGUGUUCCUAGGUGCUACUCUGGAUAAAUGCUUAUUCAAAAAUCGUGAGACAGGAAGGAUUUGGGACUCUAAUGAAAGGAACAUAGGAGUUUGCAGCUAGGUAUUUGACCAAAUAGGAUCGUCCAGUUCCUAUAGAACCUAUCACUAAAAGACCCCUAGGGGGGUAUAGGGCUAAGCGGAGCGAAAAGGGUUUCCUCUUUGGACUGGGUCUGGCCCCAAUAUAGCACCUAAUGGUAUCAUCAAUGCUGCUGAACUAGGCCGCUAUGAUGAAGUGAAACCGACUAUUUUGGAAAUUCCAAGAUUCACUGACAAUGUUGUAACUCAUCUCCUUGCUGGUCUGGGGGCAGGGUUUUUUGCUGUCUGUAUUGGCUUCCCAAUUGAUCUGGGUCACUUCGCCUUUUAUAAAGGGUUCUUCCUGAAUUUUGGACGGCUAGGAUCUUGGAAUGCGAUCAUGUUUCAAACCCUAGAACAGGUGCCGAGGAUAGUGGAGCUUCUCGCAAGGGUUAGUCGGAGGAGCUAGUCUUUUAUUUACGGUUUGGUUAGGGGAGUCAUGCUCUGUUAUGUAACACGAGGGAAACGUUUAGUAUUGUACUUGGAUGUUAAGAGAUAUUUUGUGUACUCUCUUUAUUGUUGGAUCAUGUUAAAUUUUGGAGUUGAAAAUAAAUCCGCUGUGCUACGCAUAUGUUUUUGAGACAUCAAACUUGAAAAUUUAUAUUUAUUAUGAGCAUGACAUGUGUUUUGAUUUAUGUUUCUAGAGAAUAAGUGUGACACCCUCUGUGUUAUGCAUUUUACUCUGAUUUAAGCUAUAAUAUUUACGCGGGGUUUAGAGGGUGUUACAUUAGUGAUAUCAGAGCAUGGUCGGUCAAUAGGCUAGGUUUAUUAGCAUGUUGAAUCCCUUUUGUAUUCGAUAUGUGUUUACGACACAAUCGAUACUGUUUUGGUUAGUAGGAUAGAAGGAGUCCGACCUCGAAUUGUUCGUUUAAGGUAAUUUUCGAGGGCGAAAAUUCUUAAGUAGGGGACAGUUGUAACACCCCAUUUUUUUUUUCUGUUAUUAGGUUAUUUAGUAUUUUAUUUUAAUUAUUAUUAUGUUAUAUGGUAAUUUGAUAGUUUAUGUGAUUUAAUUAGAUGACAAGAUGAUUAUGUGAUUUAAUUAGAUGAUAAGGUGAUUAAGUGAUUUUAUUAGAUAAUUAAGUUAUUAUGUGAUAUAUGGAGUGAGUAAUUUAUUUAAUUUGUAUUUGAGUGAGAUAAGAUUAAAUUAUAUAAGGUUGUUGGGUUUGUGUGAUAUAUAGAGUGGAUCCCACUAGUAAUACUAGUUUAAGGUUAGGAGUGAAAUAAAUAGAAAAAAGAAAGAAAGAGAAAUCAGAAUUAGAAGAGCAGAACAGAGAAGGAGAAAGCGUGAAAACAGAGAAGAAGGAGACGAGAAAAGAGCAGAAAACCUAGAUUUGAUCUACAAGAGGUAAGGGUUUGAAUUCAUGUUUUAUGGAUUGGUAUGAUAGUGGAUAAUGAUAGAAAGCAUGAUUUAGGAACCCUAGGAUACAUAAAUUCCCAAAUUUAAAUAGUUAGGGUUUGAGUUUUAGAUGAAUUUUGGGGGUAGAUGAUAGGCGCGCAUGAUGCGCAGAAAUUUACGAGCUCUUGAAUCCUUUUUUGAGCUGUGAUAAUGACCGAAUCCGAAGAAGUAGUAUUCAUAACAGUUGUAGCCCUUUUUGUUAUGAAACUUUUGGCGCUGGUUUCGCGUCGUUCCGACGUCUGUAGCUCAAGUUAUAUGCAUUUUAGUGAGCAUAGGUUAAGUUGUCUAGUUUCUUACGAACUGCUGUUAGUGUACGAUUUUUCCUGAUUUUUGUACUUCGAAUUUUGACUUGAAA